CGCCUUGCCAGCCCGCUCAGAACUUAAAGGAAUUGACGGGGCCGCACAAGCGGUGGAGUAUGUGGUUAAUUCGAUGCAACGCGAAGAACCUUACCUGGUCUUGACAUCCCGGAGACCCUUAGGAAACUAGGGGGUGCUUCCAUCUGGAAGAAUCUGGAGACAGGUGCUGCAUGGCUGUCGUCAGCUCGUGUCGUGAGAUGUUGGGUUAAGUCCCGCAACGAGCGCAACCCUUGCCUUUAGUUGCCAGCAGUUCGGCUGGGCACUCUAAAGGGACUGCCGGUGUUAAACCGGAGGAAGGUGGGGAUGACGUCAAGUCCUCAUUGGCCUUUAUGACCAGGGCUACACACGUACUACAAUGGCCGAUACAAAGGGCAGCGACACUGCGAGGUGAAGCCAAUCCCGUAAAAUCGGUCUCAGUCCGGAUUGGAGUCUGCAACUCGACUCCAUGAAGUUGGAAUCGCUAGUAAUCGUGGAUCAGCAUGCCACGGUGAAUACGUUCCCGGGCCUU
Molecule: ribosomal RNA, 508 nt
Filed under: uncultured Desulfobulbus sp.
Lineage: Bacteria; Pseudomonadati; Thermodesulfobacteriota; Desulfobulbia; Desulfobulbales; Desulfobulbaceae
Description: bacterial SSU rRNA
Rfam family: Bacterial small subunit ribosomal RNA
Source: RNAcentral